UGGGGAAUUUUGGACAAUGGCGGAAGCAUGCAUCAGCAAAUGCCGCGUGUGUGAAGAAGGCCUUCGGGUUGUAAAGCACUUUUGUCCGGAAAGAAAUCCUUGGCUCUAAUACAGUCGGGGGAUGACGGUACCGGAAGAAUAAGCACCGGCUAACUACGUGCCAGCAGCCGCGGUAAUACGUAGGGUGCAAGCGUUAAUCGGAAUUACUGGGCGUAAAGCGUGCGCAGGCGGUUUGCUAAGACCGAUGUGAAAUCCCCGGGCUCAACCUGGGAACUGCAUUGGUGACUGGCAGGCUAGAGUAUGGCAGAGGGGGGUAGAAUUCCACGUGUAGCAGUGAAAUGCGUAGAGAUGUGGAGGAAUACCGAUGGCGAAGGCAGCCCCCUGGGCCAAUACUGACGCUCAUGCACGAAAGCGUGGGGAGCAAACAGGAUUAGAUACCCUGGUAGUCCACGCCCUAAACGAUGUCAACUAGUUGUUGGGGAUUCAUUUCCUUAGUAACGUAGCUAACGCGUGAAGUUGACCGCCUGGGGAGUACGGUCGCAAGAUUAAAACUCAAAUGAAUUGACGGGGUCAUAGCUGUUUCCU
This 585-nucleotide ribosomal RNA is filed under the name uncultured bacterium. RNAcentral describes it as "partial 16S ribosomal RNA". It matches the Rfam family "Bacterial small subunit ribosomal RNA", at positions 355 to 1375 of the family's 1533-position model. The record is from RNAcentral.